CUCCCUGCUUAAACAGUUUCGCCUGACCCCAAUAUCUUAUUACCAUAUAAUAUUCGGUGGAGAGGGUGGUUUUGUAAAAUUGUCGAUAAUAGAGAGUUUAAAAGGAUUUGCCAUCACAGGCCGCAGUCCAGACGGAGGCACAUGAGUCGUUAGAUCUAUAACACCGAAAAAAAGGGAAAAAAAGUAGAGACAUUUUAUGGAUAACAAAGCAGCAGCUUGUGAGGAGGUUUCUCAAGAACUGGCCCGUGAGUCACUUAUUGGUAUAUCUUAUUGCAUACCAGAUAAGGUUCCAAAUUCAGAAAUUGUGCCUCAGGCGGUCAACGUUGAGGAAAAGCUUCCGGUCAUGAAUGGCGAUGGAGCUGAAAAGUAUAGAUCCGAACUGAUUUCCAUUUCUUAUAGCCAGUCUACUGAUACUGCAACAUCACCAGAGGCAUGAAAAAACCAUUAGGGUUAGCAAGAACCAAACUUGCUUUGAAACGUUUUUGUAGCAUAUUUCCCAUUUCCUUUUCUAUCAGAAGUUGCGUCGUGAAAGGUUAGUUUGUCGUAACUGUUGUGUUGUGGGUUUACAACCAAUCACGGGUUGUGCUGUCUGUUUCUGUUGAUGUCAAUACGAACAAGAAUAUGCAGAAGAGUUUACGUACAAAUUAAAGUACUUGAUACGGUGAAUAUGUGUUUCUAUAAAAAUUAAACCAGUUUGUUGUUGUCACUCGCUUUUUGUGGUUUAUAUUGCACAGCCGCGGAAGUGUUUUAUGUGAAAAAUAAAUGUACUUUGGUAACAGUGCGUUGUUGUCACUUGCUUCUCGUGGUUUACAUUGCACAACCGCUGCUUGACUUUCCUAGGAGUUGUAUGAGCCUGCAUGUAUAUUCCUGGAAUUUUCUUCUUACUUUAGUAGUUUAGUUCAGCAAAUUCUUUUCUUAACAUGGAUUUGAUUAUUAGCUUAGCAGAAAUAUUCACUCCAUUCCUGCUCACUAUUUUGAUGACACUGGUUUUCUUGAGCUUUUUCUCUCAUUCUUGGGCAAUUACCUGGCAGAUUUACUAUAAGCUGGCCAGUAAGUAAACAAAUUUCAUGAGGCUGUCUCUUGCAGAGCAGAGUUGUAGGAAGGGACAGAGUGUGUCAUUAACUUCGUAUUGUUUGUUUGCCGCUUAUAUGCUUUCAGGUGCUCCUUGAAUCAUUGCAGUUUUUCUGCGUGAAUUACACUGUCAAGCUGUUAGAUAUAGAGGCUACCCAAGGGUCAGGCCCAGCAUCCAUGCAGGAAGGCCACAUUUCUUUUAGCAACUAUUGUGGUAAUUUUAAUUGCCAAUAAAAAGUUCUAACGCGUCGACAUCCCCUACUUCUGCUAAAUUUCUUUUUUCUACCCUUUAUCUUUUUGUGUCUCAAGGUGGGGGUUCAUUUUUACUUCAGUGGUUCUGAUAAUAGAAUUGUCGCAUCACAUUUUAUAAAUGUGUAUCGAAUAGUUAUUGGAACUUUACUAUAUUCCUUGGUAUCCUUUCGGGUUCAGAAGGUGGAAUUCAGGAUAUGGUGCCUGGUUAGAGAAAUCUCCAGUACCGUGUAGGAUUUCCACUAGCUUUAUCCGUUAUGUGUGAUUUUGAUAGUUGAUUGUUGGCCUUGGUGAAGAAUUUAGGUUUGAUUUGCUGAGAUCAUUUAGACCCCUCUAGCUUUUUACAUCUUCCAUGGAAAGAACCCCAAAAAUACACCUAUUGAAUCUCAUUUCAACUGUGAUCAAUCUCUAUUAUGUUUUCUAGGUCACUUUGCUAGCUCAAUCCAAACAUCGCCUUGCACUCGUGAUUCUGAUAUGCCCUGUGUAGUUAGUAGGGUACAAAGUUCACCUGUCCAGAAGUGUUCAGCUCUUCUUUUCGUUUCUUCUGACUGAUCCUGCUGUUGGAAUUUUAGGCUUUAUCCUUGAUGAACCAGCCUGAUAACUGAUGAAUAAGGUUUCCUUCUCUCCUUAAAAUCCUUGAUGAACCAGUCUGAUGCUGCUGUGCUCAUUCCAGGUGAAGAAGAAGUUGUUAAGGAUUCUACGAGCUGUUCUAGAUGGAAGGAGGACGAGAAAGAAUGGUAAUCUAUCAGUCCGAGAGACGCAAAGAUACGAUUGAUAUGCUAAUAGAAAUUGAAGUGAAAAGGGUAAAAAUUUUUAUGAGGAGAUCAUAGAGUUAAUCCUUAUGUGCUUAAUUGUUGACCAUGAGUCUUCUGCCCAUGCCAAUAAUGUGGGCAAUUGUCCUCCUAGAUGAACAUCCAGAAUAUUUCAAUCAUGCAAAGGUGAGUGAAAAUCUCAGUGGUUCUUGAAUAUAUAUAGUUAUUUAAGCUAAACUUGCACAGUCCAUGCACUUCCUGAAAACCCUUACAAUUUGGAGAUAUGUAUAGUGAUUUUCAUUUUCCAAUUAACAUUUGGUAUGCUGUUGAAUUACUUGUUCAACUUUUGUUAGUAGAAAUUCCUGCUUGCAAAUGACUAUAGUUUUUUUGUGCAUCCAACUUUGUUAUACAAAACUAGGACCCAUAUCCCAUAGGCCUCUCCCUUUAAGUUUUGGCAGAACAGGAGGAGAUAUUAAGAAGAAGAUUUAUCCGGACCCGAAUAAAUUCAAUCCUUCGAGAUGGAAUGCAAGAGAGGACACAUUUCUUGCUUAUUAGAUGAAUGUGUUCCCAUUUUUAAUUCAGUCGCAUAUGUUGUGUGCUAAAGCAUGCAAGACAUAGAUUCUGUGUAGGAACAUAGACCGAAAUCUAGCUCUGAUAUUCCAUUUGGAAUAGGAAGUAGGCUGUGCCCUGGAGGUGAUCUAGACAACCUUGAAAUUUCUAUCUUCCUUCAUUGUUUACUCCUUAACUACAACAAAACCAUGCUGGUGGACUCGUGGUCAUCUUUCAGCAAUCAAUCAGAAGUGAUUGUAUGGUUUCUGAUGUCGCUUGUUAAAACUUCACUUGGACCUCGGCUCUCUUCACAGAUAAAUGAGGCUCGAGAUGUAGGUGUUACCUGUAAAAUGAUUCUAUAAUAUUUAAGUCAAUAUAGUAUUUGAAAGGUUAUAAGAAAAAUGUAAAGAGAGUUAUUACAAGUAUAUAAUUGUGAAUGAGAUUCUUCAUCUUUAUUUUACCUUAUAUAA
Populus nigra (black poplar) is the source of this 3091-nucleotide long non-coding RNA. RefSeq lists it as uncharacterized. The record is from RefSeq and is a predicted model, not a curated record. The transcript is spliced from 3 exons. NCBI's taxonomy places the organism in Eukaryota, Viridiplantae, Streptophyta, Magnoliopsida, Malpighiales, Salicaceae.